UACGUAGGGUGCGAGCGUUAACCGGAAUUACUGGGCGUAAAGCGUGCGCAGGCGGCGCGUUAAGACAGGUGUGAAAGCCCCGAGCUUAACUUGGGAAUUGCGCUUGUGACUGGCGAGCUGGAGUGUGGCAGAGGGAGGUGGAAUUCCACGUGUAGCAGUGAAAUGCGUAGAGAUGUGGAGGAACACCGAUGGCGAAGGCAGCCUCCUGGGCCAGCACUGACGCUCAUGCACGAAAGCGUGGGGAGCAAACAGG
This 253-nucleotide ribosomal RNA is filed under the name uncultured bacterium. Its description in RNAcentral is "partial 16S ribosomal RNA". It matches the Rfam family "Bacterial small subunit ribosomal RNA", at positions 524 to 776 of the family's 1533-position model. The record is from RNAcentral.